RNAcentral lists this long non-coding RNA (305 nucleotides) under Trifolium pratense (red clover). Its description in RNAcentral is "long non-coding RNA (TPRA_LNC002757)". Lineage: Eukaryota; Viridiplantae; Streptophyta; Magnoliopsida; Fabales; Fabaceae. The record is from RNAcentral.
UUAAAUAUUAGUGUGCCAGAUUGAUAAGAUAUGCUGCUAUUUAGAAACCUCUCUUGAAUGUUCAUUGCAAGAUAUAUUAGUAGUAGUACAUAAUUAUUGGUAUAAAAUCAUGUGUUCAUAUGUGUCAGAUCUAGAUGAAGAAGUAACAAACAAACACUAGUUUUGUCGUCUAUGUAGAGAAGCUACAAUGAUUUUGUCACCUGCCGACAUCAUCCUCAAUGUUUACAACGUGUAUUAUUCAGCAUUAGAUCUUCCAUUUGAGCAGAAAACAUGGGUAGGUGGAAUAGUAUAAAAAUGAAAAGGCA